RNAcentral lists this long non-coding RNA (262 nucleotides) under Monodelphis domestica (gray short-tailed opossum). RNAcentral describes it as "lncRNA (ENSMODG00000041594.1)". Lineage: Eukaryota; Metazoa; Chordata; Mammalia; Didelphimorphia; Didelphidae. The record is from RNAcentral.
CCUAGAACUUCAGCCACAGGUAUAACACUACAACUUCCUGGAUAGCUGAUAAAAAGGAAAAGAAAGAAAAAAGAAGCCAAAGCUGCAACAGAUUUGGACCCAAUCACCAGAGACUGUCCAUUGACUCUGGGCUUCUGACUGGUGAGAGUCCUCCACAUCUUGGCCAAGGUAUAUUGUUCUCAACAUCUUCAUUCUAUUCUAGUUCUUCACUGUCCUUUUCACCUCUGGUUUCAGUAAUCAAAUCAACAUUACUAUUCCUGUA